CCUCGCAAAGUCUCGCGCCAUUCCGAGUCCGGCGGACAAAGUUGGCCAGCCCCACCCCCCAAGGCUAUAGCCCACCCGUUUUUGUGGCCUUUUUCCGCUGGACGAACUUGGCGCCCCGGCCUUCGGGUGGUUAAUUUUGGGCGUGGCUUUGUCCGCGGCCUAUUUUCCACGCACGGAGGCCCCUCGUAAAGUCUCGCGGCAUUCCGAGUCCGGCGGAUGAAGUUGGCCAGCCCCACCCCCCAAGGCUAUAGCCCACCCAUUUUUGUGGCCUUUUUCCGCUGGACGAACUUGGCGCCCUGGCCUUCGGGUGGUUAUUUUUGGGUGCCGCUUUGCCCGCGGCCUAUUUCUGGCACACGAAGGCCCCUCGCAAAGUCUCUCGGUAUUCCGAGUCCGGCGGACGAAGUUGGCCAGCCCCACCCCCAAAGGCUAUAGCCCACCCGUUUUUGUGGCCUUUUUCCGCUGGACGAACUUGGCGCCCCGGCCUUCGGGUGGUUAAUUUUGGGCGUGGCUUUGUCCGCGGCCUAUUUUCCACGCACGGAGGCCCCUCGUAAAGUCUCGCGGCAUUCCGAGUCCGGCGGACGAAGUUGGCCAGCCCCACCCCCCAAUGCUAUAGCCCACCCGUUUUUGAGGCCUUUUUCCGCUGGACGAACUUGGCGCCCCGGCCUUCGGGUGGUUAUUUUUGGGCGCCGCUUUGCCCGCGGCCUAUUUUUCACGCACGGAGGCCCCUCGCAAAGUCUCGCGGCAUUCCGAGUCCGGCGGACGAAGUUGGUUAGCCCCACCCCCCAAGGCUAUAGCCCGCCCGUUUUUGUGGCCUUUUACCGCUGGACUAACUUGGCGCCCCGGCCUUCGGGCGGUUAAUUUUGGGUGCGGCUUUGGCCGCGGCCUAUAUUUCACGCACAGAGGCCCCUCGCAAAGUCUCGCGGCAUUCCGAGUCCGGCGGAUGAAGUUGGCCAGGCCCACCCCCCAAGGCUAUAGCCCACCCGUUUUUGUGGCCUUUUUCCGCUGGACGAACUUGGCGCCCCGGCCUUCGGUAGGUUAUUUUUGGGCUCGGCUUUGGCCGCGGCCUAUUUUUUGCGCACAGAGGCCCCUCGUAAAGUCUCGCGGCAUUCCGAGUCCGGCGGAUGAAGUUGGCCAGCCCCACCCCCCAAGGCUAUAGCCCACCCAUUUUUGUGGCCUUUUUCCGCUGGACGAACUUGGCUCCCUGGCCUUCGGGUGGUUAUUUUUGGGUGCCGCUUUGCCCGCGGCCUAUUUCUGGCACACGAAGGCCCCUCGCAAAGUCUCUCGGUAUUCCGAGUCCGGCGGACGAAGUUGGCCAGCCCCACCCCCGAAGGCUAUAGCCCACCCGUUUUUGUGGCCUUUUUCCGCUGGACGAACUUGGCGCCCCGGCCUUCGGGAGUUUAUUUUUGGGUGCGGCCUUUGCUCGCGGCCUAUUUUUGGCACAUGGAGGCCCCUCCCAAAGUCCCGCGGCGUUCCGAAGUCGGCGGGACAAAGUGGGCAGCCCCCACCCCCCAAGGCUAAAUCCCCCCCGUUUUUGUGGCCUUUUUCCGCUGGACGAACUUGGCGCCCCGGCCUUCGGGUGGUUAUUUUUGGGCGCCGCUUUGCCCGCGGCAUAUUUCUGGUACACGAAGGCCCCUCACAAAGUCUCUCGGCAUUCCGAGUCCGGCGGACGAAGUUGGCCAGCCCCACCCCCCAAGGGUACAGCCCACCCGUUUUUGUGGCCUUUUUCCGCUGGACGAACUUGGCGCCCCGGCCUUCGGGAGUUUAUUUUUGGGCGAGGCUUUGCCCGCGGCCUAUUUUUGGCACACGGAGGCCCCUCGCAAAGUCUCGCGCCAUUCCGAGUCCGGCGGAUGAAGUUGGCCAGCCCCACCCCCCAAGGCUAUAGCCCACCCGUUUUUGUGGCCUUUUUCCGCUGACGAACUGGGCGACCCGCCCUCGGGAGUUUAUUUUUGGCGCGGCUUUGCCCGCGGCCUAUUUUGGCACACGGAGGCCCCUCGCAAAGUCUCGCGCCAUUCCGAGUCCGGCGGACGAAGUUGGCCAGCUCCACCCCCCAAAGGCUAUAGCCCACCCGUUUUUGUGGCCUUUUUCCGCUGGACGAACUUGGUGCCCCGGCCUUCGGGAGUUUAUUUUUGGGCGAGGCUUUGCCCGCGGCCUAUUUUUGGCACACGGAGGCCCCUCGCAAAGUCUCGCGCCAUUCCGAGUCCGGCGGAUGAAGUUGGCCAGCCCCACCCCCCAAGGCUAUAGCCCGCCCGUUUUUGUGGCCUUUUACCACUGGACUAACUUGGCGCCCCGGCCUUUGGGCGGUUAUUUUUGGCCGCGGCUUUGCCCGUGGCCUAUUUUUCGCAAACGGAGGCCCCUCACAAAGUCUCGCGGCGUUCCGAGUCCGGCGGACGAAGUUGGCCAGCCCCACCCCCCAAGGCUAUAGCCCGCCCGUUUUUGUGGCCUUUUACCGCUGGACGAACUUGGCGCCCCGGCCUUCGGGAGUUUAUUUUUGGGUGCGGCUUUGCUCGCGGCCUAUUUUUGGUACACAGAGGCCCCUCGCAAAGUCUCGCGCCAUUCCGAGUCCGGCGGACGAAGUUGGCCUGCCCCACCCCCCAAGGCUAUAGCCCACCCGUUUUUGUGGCCUUUUUCCGCUGGACGAACUUGGCGCCCCGGCCUUCGGGAGGUUAUUUUUGGGCGCAGCUAUGCCCGCGGCCUAUUUUUGGCACACGGAGGCCCCUCGCAAAGUCUCACGCCAUUCCGAGUCCGGCGGACGAAGUUGGCCAGCCCCAACCCCCAAGGCUAUAGCCCACCCGUUUUUGUGGCCUUUUUCCGCUGGACGAACUUGGCGCCCCGGCCUC
Molecule: long non-coding RNA, 2837 nt
Filed under: Citrus x clementina
Lineage: Eukaryota; Viridiplantae; Streptophyta; Magnoliopsida; Sapindales; Rutaceae
Description: Citrus clementina (C. clementina) long non-coding RNA (CCLE_LNC006123)
Source: RNAcentral